GACGAACGCUGGCGGCGUGCUUAACACAUGCAAGUCGAACGGAAAGGCCCUGCUUUUGUGGGGUGCUCGAGUGGCGAACGGGUGAGUAACACGUGAGUAACCUGCCCUUGACUUUGGGAUAACUUCAGGAAACUGGGGCUAAUACCGGAUAGGAGCUCCUGCUGCAUGUUGGGGGUUGGAAAGUUUCGGCGGUUGGGGAUGGACUCGCGGCUUAUCAGCUUGUUGGCGGGGUAGUGGCUUACCAAGGGUUUGACGGGUAGCCGGCCUGAGAGGGUGACCGACCACAAUGGGACUGAGAGACGGCCCAGACUCCUACGGGAGGCAGAAGUGGGGAAUAUUGCACAAUGGGCGGAAGCCUGAUGCAGCAACGCCGCGUGCGGGAUGACGGCCUUCGGGUUGUAAACCGCUUUCGCCUGUGACGAAGCGUGAGUGACGGUAAUGGGUAAAGAAGCACCGGCUAACUACGUG
RNAcentral lists this ribosomal RNA (468 nucleotides) under uncultured bacterium. RNAcentral's name for it is "partial 16S ribosomal RNA". It matches the Rfam family "Bacterial small subunit ribosomal RNA", at positions 28 to 507 of the family's 1533-position model. The record is from RNAcentral.